GACGAACGCUGGCGGCGUGCUUAACACAUGCAAGUCGAACGGAAAGGCCCUGCUUUUGUGGGGUGCUCGAGUGGCGACCGGGUGAGUACCAGGUGAUUAACCUGCCUUUGACUUGGGGAUAACUUCAGGAAACUGGGGCUAAUACCGGAUAGGGGUUCCUGCUGCUGGGUGGGGGUUGAAAAGUUUCGGCGGUUGGGGAUGGACUCGCGGCUUAUCAGCUUGUUGGUGGGGUAGUGGCUUACCAAGGCUUUGACGGGUAGCCGGCCUGAGAGGGUGACCGGCCACAUUGGGACUGAGAUACGGCCCAGACUCCUACGGGAGGCAGCAGUGGGGAAUAUUGCACAAUGGGCGGAAGCCUGAUGCAGCAACGCCGCGUGCGGGAUGACGGCCUUCGGGUUGUAAACCGCUUUCGCCUGUGACGAAGCGUGAGUGACGGUAAUGGGUAAAGAAGCACCGGCUAACUACGUG
This 468-nucleotide ribosomal RNA is filed under the name uncultured bacterium. RNAcentral describes it as "partial 16S ribosomal RNA". It matches the Rfam family "Bacterial small subunit ribosomal RNA", at positions 28 to 507 of the family's 1533-position model. The record is from RNAcentral.